RNAcentral lists this transfer RNA (75 nucleotides) under Phrynosoma platyrhinos (Desert horned lizard). Its description in RNAcentral is "tRNA-OTHER". Lineage: Eukaryota; Metazoa; Chordata; Lepidosauria; Squamata; Phrynosomatidae. The record is from RNAcentral.
GCCCUGGUGGCGCAGUGGUUAAAUGCCUGUAUUGCAGCCAACCACAAGGUUCUGAGUUCAAUACCAGCCAGGGCU